AUACCAGCACUAAUGCAC
This 18-nucleotide small nuclear RNA is filed under the name Arabidopsis thaliana (thale cress). RNAcentral's name for it is "snRNA_18866". The record is from RNAcentral. Lineage: Eukaryota; Viridiplantae; Streptophyta; Magnoliopsida; Brassicales; Brassicaceae.